Molecule: long non-coding RNA, 1596 nt
Filed under: Mustela putorius furo (domestic ferret)
Lineage: Eukaryota; Metazoa; Chordata; Mammalia; Carnivora; Mustelidae
Description: lncRNA (ENSMPUG00000028719.1)
Source: RNAcentral
AUGUCUAGGAGAAAAUUCUUCUACAGCUCCUUCCUCUGUGUCUCCAGGGGAUCUAAAGUCAUAUGUUUUACAACUCUCCAAAAUAGACAAUCUCCACAUCAGAUUAACUACAGUAACUACAGCUGGAUUUCAAAAUCUGAUCUCAUCAAAUUACUUAGAGAAAGCAGCAGUCUAGGUAGAAGUGAACCUGAAAAUCUUUUUUCCAGUGUGCUCAGGAUGUUUUCUUUUUCUUCUGCAGUCAGGGAGGCCUCAAGAUGUACAACUAUGCAGUUACCAAGAUGGCCAACAGUUAAGAGGAAAACAACAAUACAUCUGUUGUUACGAUGAGGAUGCCGGUCUUCUGUUUUACUGGAAGAGCAGUCAGAAGAUACCACCAUAUGAGGACAUGACCCUGAGUGGAAGACAGUGUCUCCCAUGAGGUAGGAGGAAAGAAGGCAGGUGAGUGAUAUGGUUAAAACUCAUUCUACAAAGCACACAAGGCUUCUGUCUCCAUGGGUCACGAUAAAUUUUUUUAACACAGACUUUGAUUUCAUCUCGAUCUAUCUAGGACAAUGUUGAAAUUAAAUGGUAUCCAAAGUCUAGGCAACAGUAUCUUUGUCCUUGGAUCUGUGAAAUUCCACAAGAAAAGUGCUCAGAAAGAGUUGCAAGAAGUGAAGGAUUUAGGGAGUUUAGGAAUUAUUCAAACAAAACCAGUUAAAUUUAUAGGAAUCCCCAAUGAGGAAAGCAUUAAGAAUGGGAGUUUUGAAAUGAAAAUUUUCCACAUUAUUUCAGAGGUCCUGCUUCCUGACUGAAUGUUGCUUGUGUUUGCUCUUAUAAAUAAUAUUUCUUCCAACUGGCACCCUUAAACAGGAUCCAUUCAGACAAAUUUCAUGGGGCAUUGAGCAAUUCCGGUACCUUUCUCAAUCAAAACUAAAGGUUAUGUUAUUCUCCUUAUCCUUUCCUUUUGAGUGGCUACAAAGGAAGUUGUUGAUAUUAUUGUUAAUGUUUCAAAGAAAACUAGAGCUAUGAGUUAUUUUCUUAUGUGAAGCAGGGCGCCAGCCUUGGAAAUGUCCUUGAAGAAAGGCUUUUUUGGGUGCCACUACUCUUUCUCACAGGGCAAAGGGUGGUAAUAGCAGUCUUUAGUUUUCCACUAGUUUGCUGUCCUUUCUUUGCUGUGUUAGGUUAGGUUAUGGUUAGGAAUCUCAUUCUUGGGUGGCGGUGCACACAGCUAGUGUGACAAUUUGGUUGGCCUGGUGUGCUGGGAGGCACAAGGAGGGAGCCUUCGGGAAAUGCCCAUGAUUUCCAUCAACAAAGAAAAAAUUGGCUAGUUGGCAACUGAGGGUCAAAUCAAUAAUGAUUCUUUUGUGUGGGCACAGUUGGAACAAAAUGCCUUUCACCAAUUUUAAUAAAACCUCUGAAACAUGAUUGUAAAGGGACAUUGGGGAAAAUCUUGUGACCUCUUUGGAACAUAUAAGAAGGACUCUCAAGAUGACCUUUGAGUUCAGAGAUGGAAUGGAUCUCUGGGGGUGGCUCUUUCCAAUGAGCGCAGACCUAUAUGCUCAUUGACUGUUUUAGAAGGAAAGAAGAGACUUCAAGAGAAAAAAAAAAAAAAUAGAG